RNAcentral lists this ribosomal RNA (253 nucleotides) under uncultured bacterium. RNAcentral's name for it is "partial 16S ribosomal RNA". It matches the Rfam family "Bacterial small subunit ribosomal RNA", at positions 524 to 776 of the family's 1533-position model. The record is from RNAcentral.
UACGUAGGUGGCAAGCGUUGUCCGGAAUUAUUGGGCGUAAAGCGCGCGCAGGCGGUCCUUUAAGUCUGAUGUGAAAGCCCACGGCUCGACCGUGGAGGGUCAUUGGAAACUGGGGGACUUGAGUGCAGGAGAGAAGAGUGGAAUUCCACGUGUAGCGGUGAAAUGCGCAGAUAUCAGGAGGAACACCAACGGCGAAGGCAGCUCUCUGGGACGUUACUGACGCUGAGACGCGAAAGCGUGGGGAGCAAACAGG